Molecule: ribosomal RNA, 260 nt
Filed under: uncultured bacterium
Lineage: Bacteria
Description: partial 16S ribosomal RNA
Rfam family: Bacterial small subunit ribosomal RNA
Source: RNAcentral
UACGUAGGGGGCUAGCGUUGUUCCGGAAUCAUUGGGCGUAAAGAGCGUGUAUGGCGGCUUGGUAAGUCCGCUGUGAAAGUCCAGGGCUCAACCCUGGAAAGCCAGUGGAAACUGUCAAGCUAGAGUCCGGGAAGAGGCGAGUGGAACUCCUGGUGUAAGCGGUGAAAUGCGCAGAUAUCAGGAAGAACACCAAUGGCGAAGGCGGCUCACUGGUCCGGUAACUGACGCUGAGGUGCGAAAGCGUGGGGAGCGAAACAGGA